GCCUCGUUAGCUCAGUUGGUAGAGCAGCGGAUUGGCUUACAAAAAAUCGGCGCGUGUCCCUAGUUCGAUUCCGGGACGAGGCACCA
RNAcentral lists this transfer RNA (86 nucleotides) under Ferrimonas lipolytica. RNAcentral describes it as "Ferrimonas sp. S7 tRNA-OTHER". It matches the Rfam family "tRNA". From Rfam's summary of the family: Transfer RNA (tRNA) molecules are approximately 80 nucleotides in length. The record is from RNAcentral. Lineage: Bacteria; Pseudomonadati; Pseudomonadota; Gammaproteobacteria; Alteromonadales; Ferrimonadaceae.